GACGAACGCUGGCGGCGUGCUUAACACAUGCAAGUCGAACGGUAAGGCCCUGCUUUUUUGGUGUGCUCGAGGGGCGAUCGGGUGAGUAACACGUGUGUAACCUGCCCUUGAUUUUGGGAUAACUUCAGGUAAGUGGGGUUAAUAUAGUACAGGAUCUCCUGCUGCAUGGAGGGGGUGGGAUAGUUUCGGCGGUUGGGGUUGGACGCGCGGCUUAUCAGCUUGUUGGUGGGGUAGUGGCUUACCAAGGCUUUGACGGAUCGCCGGCCUGUGAGGGUGACCGGGCACAUUGGGACUGCGAUACGGCCCAGACUCCUACGGGAGGCAGUAGUGGGGAAUAUUGCACAAUGGGAGGAAGCCUGAUGCAGCAACGCCGCGUGCGUGAUGACGGCCUGCGGGUAGUAAACCGCUUUAGCCUGUGACGAAGCGUGAGUGACGGUAAUGGGUAAAGAAGCACCGGCUAACUACGUG
RNAcentral lists this ribosomal RNA (468 nucleotides) under uncultured bacterium. RNAcentral's name for it is "partial 16S ribosomal RNA". It matches the Rfam family "Bacterial small subunit ribosomal RNA", at positions 28 to 507 of the family's 1533-position model. The record is from RNAcentral.